Molecule: small nuclear RNA, 106 nt
Organism: Hippopotamus amphibius kiboko
Lineage: Eukaryota; Metazoa; Chordata; Mammalia; Artiodactyla; Hippopotamidae
Source: RefSeq, a predicted model, not a curated record
AUGCUCAUUUCAGCAGCACAUAUACUAAAAUAGGAAUGAUACAGAGAAGGUUAGCAUGGCCCCUUCACAAGGAUGACACGCAGUUCAUGAAGCAUUCUAUGUUUUU